CUGACGGAGCACGCCGCGUGAGUGAUGAAGGUUUUCGGAUCGUAAAGCUCUGUUGUUAGGGAAGAACAAGUGCCGUUCAAAUAGGGCGGCACCUUGACGGUACCUAACCAGAAAGCCACGGCUAACUACGUGCCAGCAGCCGCGGUAAUACGUAGGUGGCAAGCGUUGUCCGGAAUUAUUGGGCGUAAAGGGCUCGCAGGCGGUUUCUUAAGUCUGAUGUGAAAGCCCCCGGCUCAACCGGGGAGGGUCAUUGGAAACUGGGGAACUUGAGUGCAGAAGAGGAGAGUGGAAUUCCACGUGUAGCGGUGAAAUGCGUAGAGAUGUGGAGGAACACCAGUGGCGAAGGCGACUCUCUGGUCUGUAACUGACGCUGAGGAGCGAAAGCGUGGGGAGCGAACAGGAUUAGAUACCCUGGUAGUCCACGCCGUAAACGAUGAGUGCUAAGUGUUAGGGGGUUUCCGCCCCUUAGUGCUGCAGCUAACGCAUUAAGCACUCCCCCGGGG
This 503-nucleotide ribosomal RNA is filed under the name Bacillus amyloliquefaciens. Its description in RNAcentral is "bacterial SSU rRNA". It matches the Rfam family "Bacterial small subunit ribosomal RNA", at positions 383 to 877 of the family's 1533-position model. The record is from RNAcentral. Lineage: Bacteria; Bacillati; Bacillota; Bacilli; Caryophanales; Bacillaceae.